CGCUGUCGCACAUUUUGCUCGUCACCGGAGUCGCAACGACAGGCGCUUUGCGGCCGCCGGCGUCACGUGAUGGCUCUUCAUGUCGCCAUGGCAACAAGUAGGGGAUAAAUAUUAAAGUGAAGAUGGCUGUUGCUGGUAGUCCGUCAGUGUCAGGGGUCUCAGGCUGCGUGUCAGCUCUGCUUGCUGUGUGGUCAUGGUGAUCCUGGGGCUCAUUAUGGGCAGAGGCGGGUAACCAGCCACAGGGCUGACAUUGCUGCCUUUUACAGACAAGUUACCAGACAUCAGCAUGCCGGUUGGAGGAGCCAGUUUAUCCAUGGUUACUCACUGUUUGAAGAGAGGAGCACACGGCAGGCUUUGCAGACACUGAUUAUCACAGCCUUACAGACUUCUACAAGAUUCUUUCACACUCUGAGAGCACUAGCAGUCCAAGUUAAACUUCUUCUGACACCAUGUUUUGUUCAUCUGUUUGUAAAUUCAUUCAUAAGGACACAGAGACAUAAUUCUAAAACACCGGUCUUUCCUAAUGAACAAUAUCAGUGAAAACAUGGCCGCCGGCACUUGCUUCAAUUAUAUGAAACUGUCUGUGAGAUGUGUACUACACAAAGAUGGACGCCGCAUCCCCUUUCAAACCCGCCGGCACAUGCGCAAAGGGAACUUCUGGACACCGGAUGUGGGGCAGAAAUGACGCGAGGAGCGCCCCGGACCGGAAGUUCAUACUAUGAAACCAAUUUGAAGAUUUCAAGUGUUUCUGAACUUAGUUUCUGAGCGCAAAUAUAGCGUUUUGACAAACUUAAAGUGUCCCUUUGUACCAGAUUUAAUGAAUGUGUACUUGUAGAUCCUGUUCUCUAGUGCAAGUUAAUUACAGGAAGUGAGGUAAUCAAUCACUUCCUUAUCCAUAAUGGUAUAUAUAGAAGAUGUGUCCCACUGUAUAUGCUACCCCUUGAUGAAGUCAGACCAGACGAAACGCGUCUACCAUUUUAAUCCUCAGUUAAGCUGCUUUUAUCCACUUUAUUUUAGCUACAUAGCGGAUUUUAAUGUGUUUUUCUUCCAUUUCACAUUAUAGUAUAUGAGUUUUAUAUACCUUAUUUCUCCUUGUCUUUUAU
Pseudophryne corroboree (corroboree frog) is the source of this 1103-nucleotide long non-coding RNA. RefSeq lists it as uncharacterized. NCBI's taxonomy places the organism in Eukaryota, Metazoa, Chordata, Amphibia, Anura, Myobatrachidae. The transcript has 3 exons. The record is from RefSeq and is a predicted model, not a curated record.